Molecule: transfer RNA, 74 nt
Filed under: Aureimonas sp. Leaf460
Lineage: Bacteria; Pseudomonadati; Pseudomonadota; Alphaproteobacteria; Hyphomicrobiales; Aurantimonadaceae
Rfam family: tRNA
About the family: Transfer RNA (tRNA) molecules are approximately 80 nucleotides in length. Their secondary structure includes four short double-helical elements and three loops (D, anti-codon, and T loops).
Source: Rfam by way of RNAcentral
GGUCCCGUAGCUCAGCAGGAUAGAGCAUCAGAUUCCUAAUCUGAGGGUCGCGUGUUCAAAUCACGCCGGGAUCA